CCUUUGUACACACCGCCCGUCGCUACUACCGAUUGAAUGGCUCAGUGAGGCGUCCGGACUGGCCCAGAGAGGAGGGAAACCACCACUCAGGGCCGGAAAGCUCUCCACACUCGGUCAUUUAGAGG
Molecule: ribosomal RNA, 125 nt
Filed under: Hypocreales sp.
Lineage: Eukaryota; Fungi; Ascomycota; Sordariomycetes; Hypocreales
Description: partial small subunit ribosomal RNA
Rfam family: Eukaryotic small subunit ribosomal RNA
Source: RNAcentral